AAAGUUAGCAGCAUAUAUGGGAGGAGGAGUUUGAGCAGUGGAGUCCCCUAACUUGGUCUGGUUUAAUAAAUUCAUCAACUGGUCAUAAUCUUGUCUGCUUAACCCUGGUAUCACAGAGCUCUGGCCAUCUAUUUUUGCAACAGGUUGAUGGCUUUUAGGAGGAUUCCCUUGGGGAACAGACAUAUGUCCUUCAGAAUGAGGAAAAUCCAGACCAGCACUAAGAUGAGCAGCAGCAGGUCUCCUCCCCUGCUUUUAGGAGGAUUCCCUUGGGGAACAGACAUAUGUCCUUCAGAAUGAGGAAAAUCCAGACCAGCACUAAGAUGAGCAGCAGAAGGUCUCCUCCCCUUGUUAAAAUUUGUACUUUGUGGAUACCCAUGGAUCUUGAAACACUUAUCAAUUAAGUGUCCAGAUCUUAUACAGUAUCUACAGAAUAAGGGUCCUUUGGCCUGAUCAAAAUUGACUCUCUGUCUGAAAGGAGAAGGAGGAAUAGGCAUUGUGGCCUUGUUAAAUCUAACAGGCUGCCUAUUAGUAUGGACAUUGAAAGAGACAGAGUCAGGAUUAAAGUGAGAAGGAGACUGGACUUGUCUUUGCUUCUCAUCAUUGAGGACCAUAUUAUAGACAUUGUCAAGAGUUGGAGGAGGCUGCAUCAUCAAAAGAUUACUCCUUACCCCCAUAUAUGCUUCAUUCAAACCCAUUAAAAACUGAAAGACCUUAUUGUCAUCACUUUCCUGUACUAUGCCAUCUUUGGCAACACAAACACAUCUUAGACCAUGAU
This 775-nucleotide long non-coding RNA is filed under the name Nicotiana benthamiana. RNAcentral describes it as "long non-coding RNA (NBEN_LNC039098)". Lineage: Eukaryota; Viridiplantae; Streptophyta; Magnoliopsida; Solanales; Solanaceae. The record is from RNAcentral.